AAUGGCGACCGGCGCACGGGUGAGUAACACGUAUCCAACCUGCCGAUAACUCCGGAAUAGCCUUUCGAAAGAAAGAUUAAUACCGGAUAGCAUACGAAUAUCGCAUGAUAUUUUUAUUAAAGAAUUUCGGUUAUCGAUGGGGAUGCGUUCCAUUAGUUUGUUGGCGGGGUAACGGCCCAUCAAGACUACGAUGGAUAGGGGUUCUGAGAGGAAGGUCCCCCACAUUGGAACUGAGACACGGUCCAA
This 246-nucleotide ribosomal RNA is filed under the name uncultured bacterium. RNAcentral describes it as "partial 16S ribosomal RNA". It matches the Rfam family "Bacterial small subunit ribosomal RNA", at positions 87 to 334 of the family's 1533-position model. The record is from RNAcentral.